CCUACGGGCGGCUGCAGUGGGGAAUAUUGGGCAAUGGAGGAAACUCUGACCCAGCAACGCCGCGUGAAUGAUGAAGGUCUUCGGAUUGUAAAGUUCUUUUCUAAGGGAAGAAGAAAGUGACGGUACCUUAGGAAUAAGCCUCGGCUAACUACGUGCCAGCAGCCGCGGUAAUACGUAGGAGGCGAGCGUUAUCCGGAUUUGCUGGGUGUAAAGGGAGCGUAGACGGUUAAUCAAGUCAGAAGUGAAAACCCAGGGCUCAACCUUGGGACUGCUUUUGAAACUGAGUAGCUAGAGUGCAGGAGAGGUAAGCGGAAUUCCUAGUGUAGCGGUGAAAUGCGUAGAUAUUAGGAGGAACACCAGUGGCGAAGGCGGCUUACUGGACUGUAACUGACGUUGAGGCUCGAAAGCGUGGGGAGCAAACAGGAUUAGAUACUCCAGUAGUC
This 443-nucleotide ribosomal RNA is filed under the name uncultured bacterium. RNAcentral's name for it is "partial 16S ribosomal RNA". It matches the Rfam family "Bacterial small subunit ribosomal RNA", at positions 338 to 795 of the family's 1533-position model. The record is from RNAcentral.